UACAGAGGGUGCUAGCGUUGUUCGGAAUCAUUGGGCGUAAAGGGCGUGUAGGCGGUUUGUUAAGUCAUGUGUGAAAUCCCUCGGCUCAACCGGGGGAACGACGCAUGAAACUGGCAGCUAGAGUACCAAAGAGGGGGGGUGGAAUUCCCGGUGUAGCGGUGAAAUGCGUAGAUAUCGGGGAGGAACACCUGUGGCGAAGGCGGCCCCCUGGUUGGAUACUGACGCUGAUACGCGAAAGCGUGGGGAGCAAACAGG
RNAcentral lists this ribosomal RNA (255 nucleotides) under uncultured bacterium. Its description in RNAcentral is "partial 16S ribosomal RNA". It matches the Rfam family "Bacterial small subunit ribosomal RNA", at positions 524 to 776 of the family's 1533-position model. The record is from RNAcentral.